Molecule: transfer RNA, 75 nt
Filed under: Alphaproteobacteria bacterium
Lineage: Bacteria; Pseudomonadati; Pseudomonadota; Alphaproteobacteria
Also listed under: 2 other names
Description: tRNA-Gly
Rfam family: tRNA
About the family: Transfer RNA (tRNA) molecules are approximately 80 nucleotides in length. Their secondary structure includes four short double-helical elements and three loops (D, anti-codon, and T loops).
Source: RNAcentral
GCGAGUGUAGCUCAGGGGUAGAGCACGACCUUGCCAAGGUCGGGGUCGAGGGUUCGAAUCCCUUCACUCGCUCCA